This 118-nucleotide ribosomal RNA is filed under the name Parcubacteria group bacterium RIFCSPHIGHO2_01_FULL_40_30. RNAcentral also lists the same sequence under 4 other names. The record is from RNAcentral.
UAAGGCAGUUAUAUCGGAGAUGCUCCACCUGUUUCCAUUCCGAACACAGAAGUGAAAUUCUCCAGAGCCGAUGAUAGUUUCUCGCUAAGCGGGAUGCGAAAGUAGGUCGCUGUCUUAC